CCUACGGGAGGCUGCAGUGGGGAAUAUUGGGCAAUGGAGGCAACUCUGACCCAGCAACGCCGCGUGAAUGAUGAAGGUCUUCGGAUUGUAAAGUUCUUUUCUAAGGGAAGAAGAAAGUGACGGUACCUUAGGAAUAAGCCUCGGCUAACUACGUGCCAGCAGCCGCGGUAAUACGUAGGAGGCAAGCGUUAUCCGGAAUGACUGGGCGUAAAGGGUGCGUAGGUGGGUUGACAAGUUAGUAGCGCAACUCCGGAGCUCAACUUCGGAACUACUACUAAAACUGUUGGACUUGAGUGCAGGAGGGGCAAUCGGAAUUCCUGGUGUAGCGGUGGAAUGCGUAGAGAUUACGCAGAACUCCGAUUGCGAAGGCAGCAUACCGGCGCUCAACUGACGCUCAUGCACGAAAGCGUGGGUAGCGAACAGGAUUAGAUACCCUAGUAGUC
RNAcentral lists this ribosomal RNA (443 nucleotides) under uncultured bacterium. RNAcentral's name for it is "partial 16S ribosomal RNA". It matches the Rfam family "Bacterial small subunit ribosomal RNA", at positions 338 to 795 of the family's 1533-position model. The record is from RNAcentral.